AGUAACGCGUGGGUAACCUGCCUUAUACAGGGGGAUAACAGUCAGAAAUGGCUGCUAAUACCGCAUAAGCGCACAGAGCUGCAUGGCUCAGUGUGAAAAACUCCGGUGGUAUAAGAUGGACCCGCGUUGGAUUAGCUAGUUGGUGGGGUAACGGCCCACCAAGGCGACGAUCCCUAGCUGGUCUGAGAGGAUGACCAGCCACACUGGAACUGAGACACGGUCCAGACUCCUACGGGAGGCAGCAUG
This 246-nucleotide ribosomal RNA is filed under the name uncultured bacterium. Its description in RNAcentral is "partial 16S ribosomal RNA". It matches the Rfam family "Bacterial small subunit ribosomal RNA", at positions 109 to 353 of the family's 1533-position model. The record is from RNAcentral.